CCUACGGGAGGCAGCAGUGAGGAAUAUUGGUGAAUGGACGAGAGUCUGAACCAGCCAAGUAGCGUGAAGGAUGACUGCCCUAUGGGUUGUAAACUUCUUUUAUAUGGGAAUAAAACGUUCCACGUGUGGGAGUUUGUAUGUACCCUAAGUAUAAGGAACCGCGAACGCCGUGCCAGCAGCCGCGGUAAUACGGAGGAUCCGAGCGUUAUCCGGAUUUAGUGGGUUUAAAGGGAGCGUAGGUGGAUUGUUAAGUCAGUUGUGAAAUUUUGGGGCUCAACCGUAAAAUUGCAGUUGAAACUGGCAGUCUUGAGUACAGUAGAGGUGAGCGGAAUUCGUGGUGUAGCGGUGAAAUGCUUAGAUAUCACGAAGAACUCCGAUUGCGAAGGCAGUUCACUGGACUGCAACUGACACUGAGGCUCGAAAGUGUGGGUAUCAAACAGGAUUAGAUACCCCUGUAGUC
Molecule: ribosomal RNA, 460 nt
Filed under: uncultured bacterium
Lineage: Bacteria
Description: partial 16S ribosomal RNA
Rfam family: Bacterial small subunit ribosomal RNA
Source: RNAcentral